GAAGAGGGCAUCUGAUUUUGACGAAAGAUUGAUCGCCUCGGGAUGGGGAUGCGUAGGAUUAGGCAGGCGGCGGGGUAACGGCCCACCGCGCCGACGAUCCUUAGGGGUUCUGAGAGGAAGGUCCCCCACACUGGUACUGAGACACGGACCAGACUCCUACGGGAGGCAGCAGUGAGGAAUAUUGGUCAAUGGGCGCGAGCCUGAACCAGCCAAGUAGCGUGCAGGACGACGGCCCUAUGGGUUGUAAACUGCUUUUAUGCGGGGAUAAAGUGCGGCACGUGUGCCGUUUUGUAGGUACCGCAUGAAUAAGGACCGGCUAAUUCCGUGCCAGCAGCCGCGGUAAUACGGAAGGUCCGGGCGUUAUCCGGAUUUAUUGGGUUUAAAGGGAGCGCAGGCGGCCUUUUAAGCGUGACGUGAAAUGUAGGCGCUCAACGUCUGAAUUGCGUCGCGAACUGUUAGGCUUGAGUAGACGGAAUGUCGGCGGAAUUCGUGGUGUAGCGGUGAAAUGCUUAGAUAUCACGAAGAACUCCGAUUGCGAAGGCAGCUGACAGCAGUUUUACUGACGCUCAUGCUCGAAAGU
RNAcentral lists this ribosomal RNA (580 nucleotides) under uncultured rumen bacterium. Its description in RNAcentral is "bacterial SSU rRNA". It matches the Rfam family "Bacterial small subunit ribosomal RNA", at positions 182 to 760 of the family's 1533-position model. The record is from RNAcentral.